This 253-nucleotide ribosomal RNA is filed under the name uncultured bacterium. Its description in RNAcentral is "partial 16S ribosomal RNA". It matches the Rfam family "Bacterial small subunit ribosomal RNA", at positions 524 to 776 of the family's 1533-position model. The record is from RNAcentral.
UACGUAGGGUGCAAGCGUUAAUCGGAAUUACUGGGCGUAAAGCGUGCGCAGGCGGUUCGCUAAGACAGAUGUGAAAUCCCCGGGCUUAACCUGGGAACUGCAUUUGUGACUGGCGGGCUAGAGUAUGGCAGAGGGGGGUAGAAUUCCACGUGUAGCAGUGAAAUGCGUAGAGAUGUGGAGGAAUACCGAUGGCGAAGGCAGCCCCCUGGGCUAACACUGACGCUCAUGCACGAAAGCGUGGGGAGCAAACAGG